UCCACGCUGUAAACGAUGUGCACUAGGUGUUGGGGUGUUGAAACCUCAGUGCCGGAGCUAACGUGGUAACUGCACCGCCUGGGGAGUAUGCCGGCAACGGUGAAACUCAAAGGAAUUGCCGGGGGCCCGCACAAGCGGUGGAGCAUGUGGUUUAUUUCGAGGAUACGCGAGGACCCUUACCAGGGCUUUCCAUAUACCAGGAGUCGUGUGAGAGCAGCGGCUCCCUUCGGGGCCGGUAUACAGGUGCUGCAUGUCGUUCGUCAGCUCGUUCCGUGAGGUGUUGGGUUAAGUCCCGCAACGAGCGCAACCCCUAUUGUUUGUCGCCAACAAGUAACGCUGAGGACUCAGAUGAGACUCCCGGUGCCAAACCGGAGGAAGGUGGGGAUGACGUCAAGUCAUCCCGGCCCUUAUGUCCUGGGCUACACACUUGUUCAUAUGGCCGGUACAAAGCGAGGCGAAACCGCGAGGUGGAGCGAAUCCCAAAAAACCGGUCUCAGUUCGGAU
RNAcentral lists this ribosomal RNA (504 nucleotides) under uncultured organism. Its description in RNAcentral is "bacterial SSU rRNA". It matches the Rfam family "Bacterial small subunit ribosomal RNA", at positions 794 to 1298 of the family's 1533-position model. The record is from RNAcentral.